This 65-nucleotide transfer RNA is filed under the name Diabrotica barberi (northern corn rootworm). Its description in RNAcentral is "tRNA-Ala". Lineage: Eukaryota; Metazoa; Arthropoda; Insecta; Coleoptera; Chrysomelidae. The record is from RNAcentral.
AGGAUAAUAGUUAAUUAUAACAUUUAAUUUGCAUUUAAAAAGUAUUGUAAAAACAAUUUAUCUUA